UCACUAAGAGUGGCACAUCUUAUGUAUGCUCAUCUGAUGUUGACUGCAAAAAUUUAUAUGUAACUGUUCUAAUGUGCGUUGUUUCUACAUGUUCCAUUAGUGAAUAUCAGGCAGCAUGCGGCAGAUGUUGCGCUUCUACUACUUACUGCCAAAAAUAAAAUGCAUGUGAAAAUUGUACCUUGUUAUCUGUUCGUUUACUAAUCCAAGAUGUGCAAUUUUCUUUUUGAAUAAAUCUUUUACUCUCCUUUUCAUUUUUUCUUGACCAUCCAAAAUUUUCCCUCAAUACAAGUUGAUGAGUUUUAGCUGGCUGCCACAGGUUUGGCAUAGAAGAAGCUUUCAGCCAUCAGGGCUCUAUGCAGCUCGGAUCGAUAUGCAGGGCUUCAGCCCAGUAUGAGUUUGCUGAAUUUAUGGAGCUUUUGCAUUUGUUUUUUGAGUCGUACUGUUAGUGAUGCACUUGCUUACCACAAUGCAGGGACUGCAUGCUAUUUUCACUGGAGAAGAUGAUACUUGGGAAGCCUGGCUAAAUGCUGAUGCGUCUGGUUUCUCUAGUGCUAUGGGAUUUGGGGGGAAUGGCGUUAAGUUAAGGCGUGGAUAUGCUACUCCUCAGUCAUCGAAACCAACACAGGCACUCAUUUACACACUAUCAAGUUUACUACUGUUGGUUCUCUUUGUUCUGAUAUCAAGUUUACCGAUGUUGGUUUCCUUUGUUACUGAUGAUCUUAUGGUGCUCAGUCUCAUUGCAUCUUCUCUUUUUUAAGUGGCCACGGUGGGGGAGGAGUAGCUUGAAAGACUUAAAUUGUUUGAUACAAAUGCUAUAAAAGGAAGAGAGAAAAUGUCCUUGCUUCCCCCUCCAGUUAAAACUGGAAAAUAAAAAAGAAAGUAAAAAAAAAAAGGUUCAAGUGAAAUAGCUAGUAUUUGGGAAAAUUUGGGUUGGGACUGCAUGCAUGUAGACUUGAUCACUUGGUUCAUAAAAUGUUAUAUUCCAUCUAUGCUGGAAAUUCAAAUGAGUGUCGUGAAGCUUGUAGCAGCUUUCUGAUUGCAAAAAGCUGCUGGCUUGGAAAUUGCAGAAGCUAAGUUAGUAGGAGGAGGUAAGUCAUGCUAAUAUCCUCCUUUGUGGGUCUUCUUGUUUUUAUCUGUCGAUUGUGAGAAAAUGAUAAAACAGAGCUUGUAUUGAAUUAAUUAUGAAAGCCAUACAGAAGGGCUCCUUGCAUAGGAGUUUACACUUUAGGACUAAGAAAAGUUUAUAAUGUUGUAAAUUAUGUAACAGAGAAAUUAAUUAAAUAAGGCAUACUUAAUUUGAGAUUUCUACUUAUGAUAGGAGUAAGAAAAUUUAUAAUAUUGUAAUUAUGUAAAAGAGAAGGUAAUUAAAUAAAGAAUAUUUGAAUACUGAGAGUUCUACUUAUGAUAGGGUUGACAAGAAUGUUAGAUAUUAUUAACCUGAACACAUGAAACAAAUCUAGAACAUUUUAACAUAUACAUCACCAUUUCGUUUUAUGUGACCCUUGUUUGAUUGAGUAUGGAGUUUAAGAAAGAAAAGAACUUAAACAUGCCAUAACAUUUGUGUUGCUAUAAGACUUCUGAACCUUGUGGUUUUAAAUAUAACAUUACAUUUGUUUGGCUAUAAUGCUUGUCAUUAAGGGUAAAAGGGGAAGUGUAAGUUAAAUUGUUUCCAAAGUUAGAGUGGUCAUUCUUUUUGGAAGAGAGUAAUAGACUGAAGAGCAAAUAGUGUUACAUAAACUGGAAUGGAGGGAGUAGUUGAUUCGAUUUCUUGACUUCUAAUACUCCCUCUAAAACUUGAGAUAAUUAAACAACUUGAGUUUGCGAAUCAAAACUAAAAAGUGGAGUCGAGUAUGACAAGAGGAGCUACUGUUUGAAGAUGUGGCACUUGUGAUUAGACAAUGAUAUGACGAUUGAUUGGAUAGUUGCGUGGCCAUCGUUGAAUUGUGUGAUCAGUGCAUCUGAAAGUUUUAGCUAUUAGAGAGAAUUUUAAUUGAUUUAUUUUAUGUCUAUACUGCCCCAUCGUAUGGUGCGCGAUUCUUUUUAUUGGGCCAAGCACUUGAGAAUAUUUUCUUUUUCUGUUUAUGGUUGACACUCUCUCCAAUAGCUUAAGUUUUUAGAUGAGUUGAUCACAUAAUUCAAUGUGGUACCAACAAAAUAGAGGUUCCUGAAUUCAGUUCUUAUUUGUCCCCAUUGACAAAAUAUUACGAGCUGCUUGGCCCAAUAGAAAGAAUAGGGUCAGAUGUAAGUGGGUGUGUUAUAGACGUAAAGUAAGUAAUAGAAGUGUCCUUUUAAGAACAAUUAAAUGGAUAGUGACAUGGCGCUGAAUGGCUUAUGUGUCUAAGGUGACACUGACUAGACAAUGGUGUGUUGUUGAACGGCAGCACUAUGCUGACUAAAACGGAUUAAUCAACUUAACAGGUUAACGGGUUCAGACAACUAACUUGUCUUGACAGGUUAGCUGUUGGGUGUUACUUGAUAGGUUAGCUGAAAUUGAUGGAUAAAUCAACCCUAGACAUAUUUGCAAUUCGCUGCCAUAAAUUUAGGACGGCGUAGUGGCUAGAGAACACCAGAACAGUGAUGGGGAUGCUAGAGUCAUCAUUGGUAAGAAGAGUAGUGUCACUCAAAUGGUCAUACAAAUUAGGUGAGACUACUAAAUUUGUGGAGCGAUUGUGAGUUUUUUAGCAGGGUAGGCAGAACAGCUUAAGUCUCUCUCAGAAUUGUAGAGGCCCUGAUAUAUUUUAAAGUAUAAGAGAAUAAAAGAGAGUACUUUCAUAGAGUUGAUUGUUAACAACAUACACGAGGCUUUUUAUACAGAAGCUUAGGCUAUUAAAGAUGAGGAUUUUUUUUUCAAAUAUCGGGGUACCUAAUUAUCACGAUAGUUGUUUUGAUGGGGGAAAAAGAUCCUAUUACUACUUAUAUGAAAUACAGAUGUAUUUAUAACUUUAGUAUUUUGGCUGAAUGAAUUUUUGGUAAUUUUCAUAACAGAUACCCUGGACUUGUUGGGCUCCCUUAUUUUGUUUAAACAAGUUCAGAUUUUUGUGAUGUUUUUGGUAUCUUCUUGGUACUGUUAUUGCAUACAAAAUUACAAAUACUUCACCUUAUCAAAUAAAAGAUACAUCACAAUUCAGGAGAACAUCCUAUAGUAUUAACCUAUAUGCAUAGAGUGAUUCUAGAACCAACAUAUACUUAUAGGCUACAACAUUCUCUUGACUUUCAUUGGCUUGUACUACUAAAUUAGUUGCUAAGAUGUUUUUAAGGAAGGAAUAAUUAUUUGCUGGUUCAAGUGAGGAGUUAGAGAAAGGUUGACAAGCUUUAAAGAAAUUAUACACAUACAUGAACAAUAAUCCGGUCAGUCGUGUGUUUACGUCUGUGUUUAGCUUUUGGAUAGUGAGGAUUUAUGUGGCAUGCCACAACUAGCUUGGGAUUGAGAUUAUUUUUGUAUAUUACUUUUGGAUCGAUUAUCCUUCACUAUGACAUGCAUAUGCUAAAGUUUUAUUAUCUCGAAAAGAGAUUUGCUUUUCCUUUUAGUAGGUAUCUUUCAUGUGUUCUUCAGUGGUAUCCUUGAUAAGAAGUUGUUUAUGAGCCUUUUGUGCUAAGAUCAUUUAGAGUGCACACUGACUUUGGUGCACAGGGGGGAUAUUUAGGAUUUAAUCUAUUUUCUCUUGUUCCUCACUGCUGAAAUUGCACUCAUGCAUCUGUUUCUUUUAGGACGAAUUACGUCAACAAAAGGAGGAAGAAAUGGAUGAUUACUGCUCACAGGUAGUCCAAAUGCUUCCUGUUCACUAUACAAGUGUAUGUGUUGUGAUUAUAUAACUCAUCAAGCAAAUGGCAUAUAAACUAGGGAAUACCUGUCUUGACCUUAAAAUAUUAACCUAUCAUGUAGGCUUGUAUUAGUUGUUCUUGAUUGAGAAAGUAGAUAUGAAAGGCAUCAAAAGUACUAAGUUAAUGGUACUUGGUACUUUGAAAAUUGGUAAGAUUCUUAUGGUUUGGCAGGUUUUGCCCCUCUAAACUAAAUUGCGACCAGUCACUUCGGUUUGCAGGAUCAAGAAAAUAACUAAUUUUAAAUGCUAACCUCACUCAGUGAACUGUAAAUACUCCGUUCUAUUAUAUUAGACUAUGCUGUGAGUGCAGUAAAUGAGUCUUCUUUCACUACCUUUUCUUAAAUUAUUACGAAAUAACCAUAAUGUGGCCUUUUAAACUGUAAACUUAUUCGAAAUCAUGUCAGGAAAUACAAUAACAAGUGUAUUAUGUACUUGACCAGCAUAAAUAGACGGUCAGUUUCUUUUGACUCUUGUGUGCAUAUUUUGGGACAUUCUUUUUUAAAUAUAAAAGGAUAACAAAAUCAGGACAUAAGGAGCUAUACUACAUUUAUUUUGUGGAAG
RNAcentral lists this long non-coding RNA (4382 nucleotides) under Nicotiana tabacum (common tobacco). Its description in RNAcentral is "long non-coding RNA (NTAB_LNC015368)". Lineage: Eukaryota; Viridiplantae; Streptophyta; Magnoliopsida; Solanales; Solanaceae. The record is from RNAcentral.